CCUACGGGAGGCUGCAGUGAGGAAUAUUGGUCAAUGGACGGAAGUCUGAACCAGCCAUGCCGCGUGCAGGAUGACGGCCCUAUGAGUUGUAAACUGCUUUUGUAUAAGGGUAAACCUUUACACGUGUAUUCUGCUGUAUGUACCGUACGAAUAAGGAUCGGCUAACUCCGUGCCAGCAGCCGCGGUAAUACGGAGGAUCCAAGCGUUAUCCGGAUUUAUUGGGUUUAAAGGGAGCGUAGGUGGCGUUGGAAGUCAGUAGUGAAAGGCCGGGGCUCAACCGCGAGAGUGCAGUUGAAACUGGAUGGCUGGAGUGCAGGAGAGGGAGGUGGAAUUCGUGGUGUAGCGGUGAAAUGCGUAGAUAUUAGGAAGAACACCGGUGGCGAAGGCGGCUUGCUGGACUGUAACUGACGCUGAGGCUCGAAAGCGUGGGGAGCAAACAGGAUUAGAUACCCCAGUAGUC
Molecule: ribosomal RNA, 460 nt
Filed under: uncultured bacterium
Lineage: Bacteria
Description: partial 16S ribosomal RNA
Rfam family: Bacterial small subunit ribosomal RNA
Source: RNAcentral